AGCAGCAGAAGUAAAUAACUAAAUAAAUAAUACCACUAAAUAAGGUGGUUUGAAAGAAUUGCCUUCCAGAGAACUAACAGACCAUGCCUUCAUAUUUGCAUUUGAUAAAAGCAUCAUGUGAAAUAUUGCAAAUGUUGCUACACUAGUCUCAAAUUACUGUCAAAGCAUUCUUAUCAGCUCUAAUGGCAUGCCAAACAAUAAAAGGGUCAUCACCAGUCCAUUUAUGAGAUUGCUAUGUGGUUUGUUCCUUCCUAUAAACAUUUUAAAUAUGUCCACUUGUUCAUUAACAUAAUCUGCUAUACAGUCUACCUUUGUUUCACUAUUGCUAGCAAAAGCUCCCCCAGCUUUCAAUAUUCUGCCAGCAAAAUCCAGGCUAUUACCAAUAAAUUUCUCACCAAAACUGUAUGCUUUUUCAUGACAUAUAGCUUCAGCCCUGAUGGUAACUUAUAUACAACAAUAUAUUUAGUUUUUAAAACAAUAUUUGUCCAAAAUUCCGUCGCUUAUUUGAAGUUCAACUGGAUAUGCAUAAAAUAUAGAUCUGCGUGAUUUCACUUCCAAUUUCUACCAAAUUAUUUUAAUUUUCAAUAGCAUGUAAUACCUUUGACAUAACAGACAGCAAACAUUUUUAUCUGAGUUUUCAUUCAGUUAUAUUACGGCCUUUUCUUACAAAUAUAUAUUCAGUGAGCAUUCAGAAUUGCAACUUGUAGGCCUUUUCCUAUCUGAAGGCACUCAAAUUCCAAGAAGGAGAUCAGCAUGUAGAAGGAUCUUCCAUGUGUGGAUAUAUUUCUUUGGAUUGUGAACCAGAUGCAUAAAUUGGAUGAGCAGCUGGAUGCAGAUACCGUCAACCUACAUUACACGGGUUUCAAUGGGAAGCACAUCUCCCUUCAAUACUCUGGUGCAACUAGUCUUGUGUAACAAUGCAACUAGAACUGCAGAGGAAUAAGGAUUCUUUGGCUCAAUUCCCAUUAGUAUUUCAUAUAUCUUGGAUGAGAAAUAGCCUCUCAGAUACCUUAUGAGGUCAACACUUCUAUUAAUUCCUGUAUUUAGCCUUUAAUUUGCAAAUACUGGCAACAAACAAGGAUGGUUCUGAAUUUUGCCCUUCAGUUCAUUGUAACAUAAUAUAUAUAGGGGUUUUGAGCUCUUCUAGAGGAACUACAAGCUGUUCAUGAAACAUCUUUCUCCUUGUCAGUUCUUCUUCAUUCUUUUUCUGUUGUGAGGGAAAAUAAUGUCUUACGCAACCAUCAGAACUUCUUUCACAAAUAUUUCUGAAGGAUUCCUUAGCUAUAACAACAUAGGCUUUAUAUUGAUUACCACCUUCAUACUGUUCUCUACGCCUUUCUUCCUGGUUCUCAAGACUCUCCAAAGGCCACCCCCUUCGCAUCCUCCUUGAGUGCUUUUGCCUGGCUGGAAUGUGUCCUUGAAGUUUGACAACACCUCUUGCUAGUCCGGAUGGAAGAUGGAGAAAUGUGGAAGUGGGAGGGAGUGUCUGUAGAACCUCUGACUGUUGUGUGGCUGGAAUGUAGCCUAUUGUACAAAGCUAAGAGUCCCAUCCAUUGUCCUGCCCACUCUGGACCCAUUCACCGCAGGCCCACUGCCCUUUGAAAGUUGCCCACGAGGGAAUGCAGUCCUCAGGAUGAAAAAGGCUUCCCAUUCUGCCCCAUGAUCUAGAUUUGGAGUGGACAAUUAGAGGACUUAACACGUCCAGUGGCAAUUAUAUUCUAUAUAAAGCUUUGAGCUUUUUCAGAUAGCUGGUUUGUCUGGUGAUGCUAGUAGUAAAAUGUAGUGGGAAUGAAACAUUUGAUGGAUAGGGCCCUAACUAAGCAUGGGAGGUAGGCACUGCCAUCACUGGUUUUGUGCCAUCUCACUGAUCUUAUCCAUCCAUUUGGGCGUAAUGAGAUCAGCAUGGAGAUUUCAACAGCAGGGAUCAUAACUCUCUACAUAGAAACUUCUUUCAAUAUUGUAUUAUAGAAUUGUAGAUACUUCGAAUGACAUGCUGAAGACUGUAGCACCAGAAUAUGCUAGCAGUCAAGAUAUGGUGUUCACAUUCAAGCUACAAUUCAGUUAUGCUCAACUGUUAAUUACUACUACUGCAUCUUGAUGAAAGAUGAUGUGGUCCUAAAAAGAAACUGGAUUUUCCCUUGCAAGCUCUCUUCCUGGUGGCAUGAGGAGCCAUCUAGAGUCAGUGCUGUCCAUCUGGCCAAAAACCUUCCGCUGAGGGAACCCUAACUGUGCUUUUAUUGAAAUAUUUGCGGAGCUUCCCACCGGUCAGGAAAAUUUGACACUGCCAGGUGGUUUCCAUUACCCUACUUUCUUCCCAUUGGGAAUUUUCCUGAAUAAUUUUUUUCCCCUGUGUGUCCCUUUUUGGCUAAGACGUAUAAGCUGAGUCAUGUUUCUACUUGUGCCAGGAAUAGGCUAGUCCUAGGAAAGGCAUGUUUCUCCUUUAAGAUCAGCAGAUUCAAACUUCAGGAGCAACAGCAUGUUAGAAACCUCAGAAGCUGGUCUUUUUAGGCUUAGGUCUUCUGUUCAAAUAGCAGGAAAGGAAGGUGUAUCUCUGUGGAGCUUUGAUGUUCCCUAUUUUUUUAAACUCAAAACACACACUCAUAUCCUAGCCUCCCUCUCCUCUCCCCUCCCUUUCUUUUUUUGUCUCCCUCUUUUGAGGCGUGCAAAAUGGCUGCCGCCUGGCCAACGUAUCUUCCGUCAGGAAGGGGAAGCGAAGAGGCUGGGACGUGGCUCUCUGGCUAUCUUCGGCCAUGUUAGGACCUAGCUCUCUCAUCUCUGCAUGGCACCAUCUGUAACAAAACCGAGAAAGCCAGUUUGGAAUAAAACCAGAGUUGGAGGCAAAUGUGGGUAGUUUUGGCGUGUGCCGAGUGUUGCAAAUAGGCUGGGUUGCCAAAAUGAGCUAUUGUGUUAUCGGUGUAACAGUACUCGGAAUGUGUGACUGUGCCUGGAACCAGCUGGGAAGGUUUGUUCGCAGUAAGAAAGGGAAACGGUCAGUCAUGUAUGUUUCUUGUAUCAGUUGCUGUUAUGUUCUAGGAUUGUAAACAAUUAUAUGUGGUUGGGCAAUGUGCUUAUCCAUUCUGCAGGGUAGGGUUUAACUUAUUUCAUUUCUUGUAUUUCAUUUCUGAAAAUGGAAUUCAGGUUUUUUUGGGGGGUGCUGAUGGUCGUUCUAUUGUUGGUCUGCAUCUAUCAAUUUAUCUAUAUCUACUUUUUCUCAAAAAUGUUAUCGUCCAGGGAAAUCUAACUUUUAUUUUUAUUUUUUUUAAAAAAGCACUGUGGUGGUUUCUCAGGGCCCAUGAUUUCUUGGUUGUUUAUAGGAAAAGUAGAGCUAGCAACGUAAGGAAAACAUCUUGUAGAAAUAGGUGUGUGUGCCGAAAUAAAUUGCGGGAUUCCAUGACGUGUCAUGCAAGGAGAAUCUGAAGAACAGUUGGAAAGACCUUGGUCUCAUUUUGAAGCGUCUCUCUACAAAUCCGUGUAGAGAGUCUGUUAGUUGAGUCUGUUAAGGAACGUCUAUCUGUUCAAUAGUAGCAAAGAGCAAGUACUAGAGAAGAAAGUGGUCCAUGACUAUUUUAUGAAUGCCUACUGUAAAGGCUUUAAACUUUAAAGGACUGGAUAACUUGAGACUAGCAGCAGCAAUGUAUUUGUAUCUAUAUGUUUCCAUCUAUCUGUCUAUCUAUCUAAUUUCUCUCUCUUUAAGAAAAUUUUAAAAAUCACAAUGGAUUCAUAAAAAAUGGCAAUAACUACAAUUCUGUUAUUAGACAGUCAUUUUUGAAAUGCUUAACAGGGAAUAGAGAAAAUGCCUUUCCCCUUUUAUAUAUGGACAAUGAAUUUCUAUACAAUAGAUAAGUAACCACAAACAUGGCAGGAAAUAGACUAGAACAGCCCUCCUCAGUCUGGUUCCCUCUAGAAGUUUUGGACUACAACUCCCAUCACCCCAUGGCUGUGCUGGCUGGGAUUGAUGGGACUUGUAGUCCGAAAUAUAUGGAGACCAUCAGAUUGGGAAAAGUUGGAGUCGUAGAUGAUAGUCACAGUACAAUAUGGCUUUCCAGAGAAGAGCUGCUUUGAAUUAUGAGGUGCAGGUACACAGUGAAUGCUUAACAAAAAGUACCGUUGCUCAACUUUUCAGUUUGCCAGAAAUAUUCCAAAAUGUGAUACAAUGUAUAGAAAGCUACUUUAUGAGCUACUCUUUAAAUCAAGAUUGCCAGUUCUAGUUUAAAAAGUAAAAAUAAAAUAAAAUACUGUACUUUAUCUCACUAUAUGGUAUCUAGCAUGCUGAAACCAUAUUAGAGCCAUGAAGUUACAUUCUAAGGACUCUCCUGAAAGGGAAUCUACUUAAUAAAGUAAAUUAUGGAUGAUAUGUGGUAUAUAGAGUGGAUCUAAUUUGCAGCUAUGAUGUGUGUUGUGUUUACAUUUACAGUGGAACCUCGGGUUGCGGAUGUAAUCCGUGACGGAGGCACGUCCGCAAUCUGCAGCGUUCGUAACCUGCAGCACCGUGUCUGCGCACGUGCGUGAUGCGAUUUGGCGCUUCUGCGCAUGCGCAAGCAGCAAAACCCGGAAGUAACACUUUCUAGUACUUCCGGGUUUCCUGCAGUACGCAACCUGAAAAGGCAUAACCUAAAGCGUCUGUAACCCAAGGUACCACUGUAUAAAUAUUUUGUACAUGACGGAUGAAGAGUUAGUAAAAAUUUCCAUAUCAAUUUAAGCACGAUGCAGGAACAGUUAAAUUGAUAUGGAAAUUUGUAAUCAUAGUGAAAACCAUUGAAGGUAAUUAAGGAAGUUGUGACAAUAUAUUUAGAGCUGCAGACCUAUAACCAGGGCUGGAUUUAGGUUUGAUGAGGCCCUAAGCUACUGAAGCUAAUGGGGCCCUUUAUAUGUCAGCUGUCCUUUGUCAACAACAAAUUGUCACUGUUUUUUGUGUUGAAUAUAUACUAUAUGGUAAUUUAUGGACCUAAUAGGUAUCUAAAGCCAUUUGCACAUAACAAAAUAUGUAUUUUAUCAAAGUAAUUGCUGAACUGAAAUACAAUUAAGAAGAAGUUUAUCUUAUAUUUUGGAAAUGUACACCCAGGUGGUUUUUUUCCCCUAUAAUUUUUUGGGGGCGCCCCCAAGAGAGUGGGGCCUUAAGUUAUAGCUUGUUUAGCUUACUGUAUACGUAAAUCCAGCACUGCCUAUAACCACUUAUCUGAAGCAAGCAGCAUUAAACUGAAUAGACACAUACAGGAUUUCACUGUAAAUCAGUAAACUCAACUGCUAUAUUCCUUAAUACAGUGAUUGUUUCUGAUAUGAGUCGUUUUUACAAACGUCACAUUAAUCUCCAACUUGAAUUACAGCUGAAGCAAAAGAAGGGGGAAUUUCUCACUUGUGCUGUUCCUAUUUUUAAAACAUAGCAUGAGUUGCAUAGUUUGUCUAAAGAAUUGAGGUGUCAAGCCAUUGAAUAAUCUGUUGAGCUGCCUGCGGAGUUAGGAAAAUAUUUUCCCUCCCAGAAGUGUGAAUGGCAACGGGCCAUUCUAAGGGCAUUUCCAAGUUUCAUUUAUUAAUGCAAUAUGGAUUGUAGCCAACUAAAGUUUACUAAGAGUAGACCCAUUGAAAUUAAUGAACCUAAGUUAGCCAUGCUCAUUAAUUUCAGUAGGACUGCUCUGAGCAGGACCAGCCUAGGUUUCAACUCUAUAUGUGCAAUCGUCACCUGUUUAUUGUUGUGAACCAGAAAUCUUCCCUUCAGGUAGUGCUUCUGUUGCAGUGAUACCGGGUGGUAUCAAAUUCAGAGAUGGCCUAUUGAAUUAAAUGGGCUAAAGUCAGUCUUAUAACUAACUUGUCCACUGAUGUCACUCAUUGCUUUUUCCCGGAUUGCAAAACUUUGUUGCUGGGGAACUGCUGUUCUUCCCCUGACACUACCCUCAUUUCUCAUGCUAUUGCCAUAUGGAAUGUGCCUGUAGCAUUACUGGUGCUGAGUGAAAUUAAUGAGAACCUUAGCAUAUUGUGCACUUCCUAUAAAGGCUUGGUUUAGUUUAAUUCAAUAUGUAUCUCCUUCUAGCCCAGGAAUACUCAUAAAGCCUUUCUAAAAGUGGAAGAUGGACACACAUCUAGGAAGACCACCCCUUCUGCUUCAAAAAUGCUGUCAAGGCAGCUGAUGGUCAUGUUAAAUAAAUGCAUGCAAGCAAAUGCAUGCAGGGCUGUGGAUGGCCAGGUCUUCGUUUUUAUUUCCUCCCCUGCUGAAAAUUCUUUUUUCUUUUUUUUUUUUAAAGAAAGUCAUCAGCAUAGAAAUGGGCAAAUCGGUUAGUCUGGGUAUCUCUCAGUUUCGGAUUUUUUUCAAGCUUAACCUGAGUUCUUCACAUUUCCACAUCAGUUUGUUGCUGUUGUUUUUUCAAAAAUCCUCAUGAAAACUCACCAGCAUUUUAGUGUAAAAGUCUCCUAAUUUUCGUAUGCAAUUAUGCGUGAUAUACAGAAUUCGGCAAAUGGAUAUAUUCCCUCUAAUGUAAUGCAGUUUUGCAGGCAGUUUUCACUGAUGUGUGCAUUUUUUAUGCACACUUUACCACGGUAUAUGAAUUUGUGCAUGCAUUACUUGGCUAGAGUAUUACAUUGCAAAAUUCAGAGAAGAGCGAAUUUCAAAGGAUGCUUGUUUUGGAUUGCAUAUUGUUUCAGAAAGUGCAGAUUAGGUAGAUUCACUAUUAAAUGCAAAUUGAAUCCAACCCUAUAACCCAUUGCAAGGCCAAUACUCACCCCAGUCCAUUGUCCAUUGCUCAGAUAAGGGACAAAAUAUAGCUUUGCCACUUUCAGACUCGAAUCUGCUAUCCUACGGCACCUAGUCCUUAUUUUACAGCUGUACACAUUGUUGUCUGCUGAUCUUUGCUGCCUUUCUGCUUGUGGAUUAAUGACUGCCAAAUCUGUUUAUCUGUAUGCAUUUUGCGAUCAUUUCAGUUUUCAGAUUAUGGCUGUCAGCUGCUUUUAAACAAGGCAUAAAGUGGAUGCAAAUUUUAAGUAAAAGUUUUUUAUAUAUAAAUAUGGGGUUUGGUUUUGUUUUGCUUGCAAGAAAGUUCCUGGAUGUUUUACAGAUUCUUCAUUGCUUCCCUAUUAUUUGGACUUUCAUUCUUACCAUAAAGGAUUGAGCUUGGCAUUUGGCAAACUAAUUGAAAGCAAAAAAAAAUUAAAAUAAUCUGGGUACUUCAACUGGGCACACACAGAAGAAAGCCCAUGACGGUUAAGAUGCUACCGUGUGCUUUAAAUAAAAUAGUUCCAAGUCUAGAUUAGAAAGCACUCUGGAUGCAAACAGUAAUACUGCAAUGUUUUGAAAGUUUGGGUGACUUUAAAAAAUAUUCAUUCCUUUUCGUUUUCCUGCUUUCUAAAGAAAUCAGUUACACAAAUUGGAUAUCAAAUCGCUGCAGCCUUCCAUAGGCAAAUCUAAAUGACAAAAUGGCUGACUGUCAGCCAUUUUGUAGGAAUGCAGACAGCUGACUUAAUGCAGUUCUUUUCUUUCAGGUUGGUUGUCUCCCAAUUUAGCUAUCACUGUGUGGGACUGAAAAGAUUUUAGGAGAGACUGGCACAAAUUUUCUCUCUGGGAAAUGUCCCCGGAUCGUUUUGGCAGCGCCUCUCCAGACUGUGACUACACAAAAGCUGAAAGCAGCGUCCUCUUUUAAAAGAGCUAUUUUGUUCUUUGUUUUUUUUCAGUUUGACAGACUCUCUUAAUAAACCAGAUCAGCACCUGAAGCUUUUAGAAACGUCUCCUAAAACCUUUUUCGGUUUUGAAGUGAGCUUAGGAUUUCACAAUGGCUCAAGUUUGUUUGCAUUCUAAAUUGCUGCCUUAACUACUUUCAGACUUUCACUUUCUGGCAUUGCGAACGCUCAAAUUCUAAGACAUUUGAUCAGAUAUGCUGGUCAUGGACAAUGCUGCUUUGAUACCAAGCCAUAGGGAAAGCACAGCUGUGGCAUCUCUCCCACCCGCCCCCCAUCCCCCAGAAAUGUGCAUGAAACCAGCAUUCAAAGCACCUGAUUUCUUGCUAUGGAUGAUUUUUUUAAAAAACCAUGACAUCUUGAGAACCAUCCCAGUCUGUAUAAUGAAUAGUCUUUGCAAACCGUAUUGCUCCCCCCCCCCACUGCUGUGUUAUACUGCUUGAACUUUUUAGCUGUGGCCAUGGGGAGGGGGGACAGAGAAGAACAUUCUGUUUUGGUCUAUGCUCUUUCUGGAGAUCGGAGCAGAUAUUUCCUCUAAAAUCCACACAGAGAGGGAGGCGGUGAUACCAGCAUGCCGAAGAGCUCUAUUUCUGUACAGAAUGCUAAACUUUACCAAAUAAAUGCAUUAUUUGUGUAUUAGGGGUGGGGUUUAAAAUUUCCCUUGUCCAUACCAUGAAUUUCUUUCCCGCCAGAUGUUCACUAUUUUUAUACGCACACACAAUGCUGGGAUUAUUCUUGCAUUUGCUCUCCUGGAUGCCUUCCUCCCUCAGCAACGUUGUGUGUGCCUAAAACAACUAAACAAGUAGGAAACAAUAAUUUCAGAAGGGUGGGCAGGGGACCAGCCUUGCUGCCUGCUUUUCUGGCAAUUGGCCCGAAAGCAAAACAAAAUCACUUUCUUUUAGCUGCUGGAUUUGCCUCUCCCCACCCCCCACCCCACAACCGUAGUUCCUCCCCAUCCUGUGCUGUACAAUGUAGCAGCCAUCAGAGGAAUGGAAAUGGAGCUUUUAUGUCAUAAUUUCAAGGUUACAGCAGGUCCCUUGCUAUAAGGAGGGCAAGGCAGGGUUGUGGAAGGACAGCCUUUCUCAAGAAUAUUGCAGGGCUGUUCCUGAACAUUCACCUUUCAUCACUUUUAUGUAUCUUUUGUUUAACUAUGCAUACUGUUUACUGGAGCACAAAUCCUCUAAGUGGCUUGCAAGACGUUCUAAGAAGUUUAUUUAAAAUGCC
Non-coding RNA from Podarcis lilfordi (Lilford's wall lizard), 8883 nucleotides. NCBI's taxonomy places the organism in Eukaryota, Metazoa, Chordata, Lepidosauria, Squamata, Lacertidae. The record is from the annotation of a GenBank genome assembly.